CCUGCCAGUAGUCAUAUGCUUGUCUCAAAGAUUAAGCCAUGCAUGUCCAAGUAUAAGCAAUUAUACGGCGAAACUGCGAAUGGCUCAUUAUAUCAGCUAUAGUCUAUUUGAUAGAACCAAUACUACAUGGAUAACCGUGGUAAUUCUAGAGCUAAUACAUGCAACAAACCUCGACUUUUGGAAGAGGUGUAUUUAUUAGAUAAAACCAACGCCGGGCUUUGGCUCGGCUUUUUGGGUGAUUCAUAAUAACUGUUCGAAUCGUAUGUCUUUUUGACGACGAUAGAUCAUUCGAAUAUCUGCCCUAUCAACUUUUGAUGGUAGGAUAGAGGCCUACCAUGGUGUCAACGGGUAACGGGGAAUUAGGGUUUGAUUCCGGAGAAAGAGCCUGAGAAACGGCUCUUACAUCCAAGGAAGGCAGCAGGCGCGCAAAUUACCCAAUCUCGAUACGAGGAGGUAGUGACAAGAAAUAACAAUGCUGGGCCCAAUGGGUCUAGCAAUUGGAAUGAGUACAAUGUAAACACCUUAACGAGGAACAAUUGGAGGGCAAGUCUGGUGCCAGCAGCUGCGGUAAUUCCAGCUCCAAUAGCGUAUAUUAAAGUUGUUGCAGUUAAAAAGCUCGUAGUCGAAACUCGAGGUACCAAAGGACGAGGGGUUGCCGGGUGGGUAAUUGGUUGAAAGAUUAGUUACUGGCCCGGGUCAAACAGCCCUUUUAUCGCUCCUAUUGGGCCUGAAUUAAUUCUAGCUGUGUUCGUGCUCUUUAUUGAGUGCGGACCACGGUUGGAACGAUUACCUUGAAGAAAUUAGAGUGUUCAAAGCAGGCAUUUUGCUCGAAUACAUUAGCAUGGAAUAAUAGAAUAGGACUCGACCUUUAUUGUUGGUUUUAGAGGUCGAGUAAUGAUUAAUAGGAACGGUCGGGGGCAUUCGUAUUGUCGUGUCAGGAGUGAAAUCUGUUGACCACGAUUGGACGAACUAAUGCGAAGGCAUUUGUCAAGGACGUUUCCAUUGAUCAAGAACGAAAGUUAGGGGAUCGAAGACGAUUAGAUACCGUCGUAGUCUUAACCGUAAACGAUGCCGACUAGGGAUUCGACGAUAGUCAAUUGGGACACGUCGAGCACCUUGUGAGAAAUCAAAGUUUUUGGGUUCUGGGGGGAGUAUUGUCGCAAGGCUGAAACUUGAAGGAAUUGACGGGAG
This 1191-nucleotide ribosomal RNA is filed under the name uncultured soil eukaryote. RNAcentral's name for it is "SSU rRNA". It matches the Rfam family "Eukaryotic small subunit ribosomal RNA", at positions 13 to 1162 of the family's 1831-position model. The record is from RNAcentral.